This 306-nucleotide unclassified non-coding RNA is filed under the name Hevea brasiliensis (rubber tree). Lineage: Eukaryota; Viridiplantae; Streptophyta; Magnoliopsida; Malpighiales; Euphorbiaceae. The record is from RNAcentral.
GGAAACAGCAAGUGAUUUUCACUGUCGAUGGACGAUGAAAAUGAGAGCUUUAAGCAAAUGAUCCACUGUCAAUACCAUGAAAGCUACACCAAAUUAAGGUUCCCCAAAUGUGUUCUCUCCACUGUAGGUAACAUAAAGGAAACCGUCUUCAUCCUUCUUCUCGUCAUAGAUGGAAGACAUGAUUGCACCUGUUGGUGGUAGGACAUUGUCGACGAAUAUGAAAAUUGCCUUUUCUGCACUCAAUUUAAUCCUUUUUCGAAUGACAUACACAAACUGCCCUACCGUCAAGUCAGCUGGGACAAGAUA